Molecule: ribosomal RNA, 1914 nt
Filed under: wastewater metagenome
Description: bacterial LSU rRNA
Rfam family: Bacterial large subunit ribosomal RNA
Source: RNAcentral
CUCUGUUUCGGACUGGGGGUCGCAAGAUUACCCACCCUUGACAAACUACGAAUACCAUAUGCGGAACUACGGCAGUUAGAACGUGGGGGCUAAGCUCCACGCUCAAAAGGAAAACAGUCCAGAUCGCCAUCUAAGGUCCCUAAAUAUACGCUCAGUGGGAAACGAGGUGAGAUUUCUUAAACAACUAGGAUGUUGGCUUAGAAGCAGCCAUUCAUUUAAAGAGUGCGUAACAGCUCACUAGUCAAGAGAUCUUGCGUGGAAAAUGUAACGGGGCUAAAGCAUAGUACCGAAGAUGAGAGUUCGUAUUUAUACGAGCGGUAGAGGAGCGUUGAUAUCUGCGUUGAAGUCGAACUGCGAGGUUCGGUGGAGUGGUAUCAAGUGAGAAUGUUGGAAUGAGUAACCAUAAGGGCAGUGAGAAUCUGCCCCGCCGAAAGAGCAAGGUUUCCUGGGCCACGAUAAUCGUCCCAGGGUUAGUCGGUCCUAAGCCGAGGCGCGUAGCGUAGGCGAUGGACAACGGGUUAAUAUUCCCGUACUAGUAUUAUAUUGCUACAUGUGCGCGGCAUAUUAGUCGGAGCGGAUUCAUGGUUAUAUCCGUCUAAGUAAGAGAAAAGCUUACGAAUGAAAAUUCCUUUAGGAAUAAUUCCGAUAAAAGUGCUGACUAGAAAAGCAAUGUAGCGCGUGUAUAGUGCUAUCCGUACCGCAAACCAACACAGGUGCUCAGGUCGAGAAGACCAAGGUGUACGAGUGAUUCUUCGUUAAGGAACUCGGCAAACAAGCGGCCGUAACUUCGGAAUAAGGCCUGCCCUCCUCGUGGGGGCCGCAGCUAAGGAGCCCAUGCAACUGUUUACCAAAAACAUAGGUCUCUGCUAACACGAAAGUGGAUGUAUAGGGGCUGACGCCUGCCCGGUGCCGGAAGGUUAAGGGGAGCUGUGUAUGCAGCGAACUGAAGCCCCGGUGAACGGCGGCGGUAACUAUAACCGUCCUAAGGUGAAAUCGUUGCCUUAGUGGAGUGAAAGACUCCCUCCAAUGUUUCCUCAUUCAUGAGGUUUAAGGAGAAAAUUUGGCUAUAUGCUGGAACAUCUGAGAAUCCUGCGCUACUUAAUAUUUAUUUAAUCUUUACAGAGUAAAAUUAGUAAAUAUGAGUGAAAAUGCGACAGGUGCAGACAAUCAGCAGGGAAGAUUAGAUCCGUGGUGGAUCGUUGGGUUUGUUGAUGGCGAAGGAUGUUUCUCGAUAAGUAUCUUCAAGAAUACAACGUCAAAAUCUGGUUACCAGGUGUUUCCAGAAUUUGUUGUAACGCAAGGUGCUAAAAGUCUAACCGUACUCGAAAACUUACAAAUGUUUUUCGGAUGCGGCAAGCUCUAUGAAAAUAGACGUACAGACAACCAUCGGGAAAGUCUUUACAGAUAUUGCGUAAGAUCUAUAGGUGAUAUUCAGAAGAAGAUUAUUCCUUUUUUUGAGACAUAUCCGCUACAAACUGCAAAGCAACAAGAUUUCUUUGUUUUUUGCGAAGUGGUGAAUCUCAUAAAGAACCGGAAUCAUCUAACUGAAGCGGGCUUACAGACCAUACGCGAAUUAGCAGCCACAACCAACCGACGUAAAGUACGAAUCUAAAACCCUCAGAGACUACACGCCAAACCCUGUCUAACAGGGAAGAUAUAGUCCGGACUGUAUGGCGACAUACAGACUGUGCCAGAAAUGAGCACAGCGCUUACAAAUAAGUAAGAAGUAACAAUAUCAAGCGAAAUUCCUUGUCAGGUAAGUUCUGACCUGCACGAAUGGCGUAAUGAUAUGGGUACUGUCUCAACGAAGAGCUCGGUGAAAGUGCAUUGACGGUAAAGAUGCCGUCUGUCCGCAGCAGGACGAGAAGACCCCGUGCAGCUUUACUACAGCUUGGCAUUGAGCCGGGUCAUAAC